AUUGAACGCUGGCGGCAGGCCUAACACAUGCAAGUCGAAUGGUAACAGGAAACAGCUUGCUGUUUCGCUGACGAGUGGCGGACGGGUGAGUAAUGUCUGUGAAACUGCCUGAUGGAGGGGGAUAACUACUGGAAACGGUAGCUAAUACCGCAUAACGUCGCAAGACCAAAGAGGGGGACCUUCGGGCCUCUUGCCAUCAGAUGUGCCCAGAUGGGAUUAGCUAGUAGGUGGGGUAACGGCUCACCUAGGCGACGAUCCCUAGCUGGGCUGAGAGGAUGACCAGACACACUGGAACUGAGACACGGUCCAGACUCCUACGGGAGGCAGCAGUGGGGAAUAUUGCACAAUGGGCGCAAGCCUGAUGCAGCCAUGCCGCGUGUAUGAAGAAGGCCUUCGGGUUGUAAAGUACUUUCAGCGGGGAGGAAGGGAGUAAAGUUAAUACCUUUGCUCAUUGACGUUACCCGCAGAAGAAGCACCGGCUAACUCCGUG
This 490-nucleotide ribosomal RNA is filed under the name uncultured bacterium. RNAcentral's name for it is "partial 16S ribosomal RNA". It matches the Rfam family "Bacterial small subunit ribosomal RNA", at positions 30 to 507 of the family's 1533-position model. The record is from RNAcentral.